ACUACGGGAGGCUGCAGUGAGGAAUAUUGGUCAAUGGGCGGAAGCCUGAACCAGCCAAGUAGCGUGCAGGAUGACGGCCCUACGGGUUGUAAACUGCUUUUAUACGGGAAUAACGCGCCUUACGUGUAGGGCUUUGCAUGUACCGUAUGAAUAAGGACCGGCUAAUUCCGUGCCAGCAGCCGCGGUAAUACGGAAGGUCCGGGCGGUAUCCGGAUUUAUUGGGGUUAAAGGGAGCGUAGGAGGACUGACAAGCGUGCUGUGAAAUGUGCGGGCUCAACCCGGGCCUUGCAGCGCGAACUGGCGUGCUUGAGUCCGCGGAAAGCAGGCGGAAUUCGUCGUGUAGCGGUGAAAUGCUUAGAUAUGACGAAGAACCCCGAUUGCGAAGGCAGCUUGCUGCAGCGGAACUGACGCUGAUGCUCGAAAGCGCGGGUACCGAACAGGAUUAGAUACCCGUGUAGUC
Molecule: ribosomal RNA, 460 nt
Filed under: uncultured bacterium
Lineage: Bacteria
Description: partial 16S ribosomal RNA
Rfam family: Bacterial small subunit ribosomal RNA
Source: RNAcentral